Molecule: ribosomal RNA, 439 nt
Filed under: uncultured bacterium
Lineage: Bacteria
Description: partial 16S ribosomal RNA
Rfam family: Bacterial small subunit ribosomal RNA
Source: RNAcentral
CCUACGGGAGGCUGCAGUGAGGAAUUUUGGACAAUGGGGGGAACCCUGAUCCAGCGACGCCGCGUGAGUGAAGAAGUAUUUCGGUAUGUAAAGCUCGAUCAGCAGGGAAGAAAAUGACGGUACCUGACUAAGAAGCCCCGGCUAACUACGUGCCAGCAGCCGCGGUAAUACGGGGGAUGCGAGCGUUAUCCGGAUUUAUUGGGGUAAAAGGGUGCGUAGGCGGAAUGCCAAGUCAGCGGUAAAAUCGCGGGGCUCAACCUCGCCCCGCCGUUGAAACUGGCGUUCUUGAGUGGGCGAGAAGUAUGCGGAAUGCGUGGUGUAGCGGUGAAAUGCAUAGAUAUCACGCAGAACUCCGAUUGCGAAGGCAGUAUACCGGCGCCCAACUGACGCUGAAGCACGAAAGCGUGGGUAUCGAACAGGAUUAGAUACCCGUGUAGUC